This is a long non-coding RNA of Cavia porcellus (domestic guinea pig), 4492 nucleotides long. RefSeq lists it as uncharacterized. The transcript is spliced from 2 exons. Lineage: Eukaryota; Metazoa; Chordata; Mammalia; Rodentia; Caviidae. The record is from RefSeq and is a predicted model, not a curated record.
CUUGUUCCUGUUGGGAGGCAGGGGAAUGAGGGUGUCAUAAAUGAUGAGAUUCUUGGGCCAAUGAAGAAUCUCCACUUUGCCCUACUCCUUUUCUGGAAUGUUUAGAAACCAUAGGCUCUAGAGACAGGAUUCCUAGGCUCAACUCACACCCUCCCCCUUAUUGUCCCUCCAAUUUCUGCUUUUCAUUUCAUCUCUCAAGCAUACUCCCUCCUUCCUCCUCCAGCAUCUGCACUAAUCCAGCUCACACUCCAGAGUCACCUUUCACUCAUCUUCUGCUCACACUCCCCACAUUCAGCCGUGGCACACUCUGUUAGCCCCACCUUCCAGACACAUCCAGGAUUUGACCUUUUCGAAUCACCCCACCAUUUUCACUGCCACCACUUAGGCUGCAGUAGGCCCUGGCAGGAGCCUCUUCACUGGUCCCCCUUGCCUUGGCCCUUUCUAUUCCCUGCACGACAGCCAGAGGGAGCUUUUACUGCUGGAAGGCAGCAAUGGGACAGUUUCAUAGCACAAAUUCUAAAGUUACACACCUGGGUACAAAUCCUCCAUUUGGAGCUCCCUGGCUGUGUUGCCUUAAACAAGUUAGUUAACUUCUCUGGGUCUCAAUUUCCAUUGGUAACAAAGACUCCAUUAACAUUUUCCUAGCAUUCAUCAUGAAACAGUUUAAGCACUCCUAUGUGCUGGUAACAAAGUUACUCCUAAAUUUAUAUGAGUUACAUACUAACAGUUUAAGCACUCCUAUGUGCUGGUAACAAAGUUACUCCCAAAUUUAUAUGAGUUACAUACUAGCUCUCCUCAUUUCACAGAUGAUGAAAAAUGUUUUGAGUUUAAGGGGGCUCUGCUUACACAGACCCGGUUUAAACCCAAGCAUGUUUAUAACUGACUUUGUGUUACAUCUUCUGGCAAAGGUAACUGUUGCCAUUUCACAGUAAAGUAUUGUGGGGGUGGGUGGGGCAGGAGUGUUAAAUGAGUUCCUGAGAGGAAAUAACCAUAACAAUAGUUACACAAUUAGUAACAAUACCUAUUCUUGUCUCUACUCCAGGUUUCUGGUGCUAAAUCUCUGUAACCAGUUUGUAUUUCCAGGGAGGUAGGAAGAGAGAGACAUUUGGGGCUUCAUUUGGCUCCUGAUCCCCUAAGAAACCCAGUUAGUCUUACCACCUAUAAAAUGGGGAUAACCAAAUCUGUUCAUCCUAUUUUUUUUCAGGAAGGAUCAGAGGAGAAAACCCCCUUUGGAAACAGGGUUUGGAAGCCAUUCCGGGGUCAUCCGCCAAGCAAGAGGAUGGUUAAGACCAAGAUGGCUAUAGUCAAGUCAUGCUGGAUUCUCACACAUGAUCGGUCAUUUCUCAAGUAGCUCAUCCCCACCGUGGGUCGAGUCAGUCAGUGUCUUGUGAUGUCUAGGUCCCUCCGAGAAGCAUGGGGUCUUAUCAGAGCAGGUGGUCUGUAAUCACAUACAGCCAUAGUCAGGUAGCUACAUGGAUCUUGCUGUGGAUAGGCUGGCCUGUGACUCACUCAGGCUGCCCCUUAUCAUGUCAGGCAGCCAGGUGGUCAUUUUCAGCAAUCCCCAACCUGUACCAUGUGAGCAGUUAGUCAACACAUUGAGCCAGGCCCUCAAGCAUGGUGCAUUUCAGUCAGACACAGCUAUGUAGUGGGCAGCUGCAGUCCUUGAUCAGUAAUCCUGAAAUUCCUUCAGUUUAGUCUUUGCUCACAUAGGGCCAUACAGGGUAACAUCCAAACAGUUCCUCUCUCAGGCCAGGGGCAAUUUCUAGCAUCAGUCUUUCUUUUCUUUUCUUUUCUUUUUUUUUUUUGUCUUUUUGUUUUUUUAUCAGUACUGGGGAUUGAACUCACGACCACACACUUGCAAGGCAGGUGCUUAUGCCACUGAGCUAAAUCCCCAGUCCCCAGUCUUUCAUUACAACACCCUGGCCCCUACCCAGCAGGAAUACCACAGGUCACCAGUAACGCCCUCAGGAGGCUGCCUGUCUUCUUCACUGUCAGGCCAUCAGUCCAGCCAGUCCUAGGUGAGAGCCUCACAGCAUCAGGAAAUUGCACUGUUGAUCUCUCAAACUGCCCCUCUUGCUGUCAUUCUGUGAGCUAUAGUCAACCAAAACUCACACAGUUAACCAGAUACUGUGUCUGCUUUCAUCCAGAUGAAGAAAAUGGCUUGUCACUGAGGUUCCAUCAAUUCCUGCUGGCCAUGUUCAUCUGUGUUAAGUGCCACCGUGUAACCCUUUCCCUCCCUUACUCCUUGUAGAACUGUCAGAUGCUGUUCCUCCCUCACGUGCAGCCUCUCUGGAGGGAUUGAGUUCCUGCUCCUUGGAGUCCCAGAGGCUGUCCAAACCAAGAAAAUGAUUUAAGAUGAAACCUCUACUGUCCUUGAUUUGGUAGAUGGAGGGCUCUGUGGGUAGUGGAGAGAAACCCUUGACCUUUCCCAAAUAGUGUAAUAAUAUAGUUAGAGCAAAGGCCUGGACUCUGGAAAAUGACCACUUGGGUCAAAUCCCAACUCCACAUUUUACUGUAUAGAGUGGCAUUGGGCAUUUUCUUCAUUCAUGAAGGGGUUAGUCUCUCAUUCAUUUGGAGAGUGAAUUUUUUUGGACUAGUACCUUUUUCAGGAGAUCUUAAAAUAAAAAUGUCACCCUGUUACUAGAUUCCAGUCAUGUGUCUGUUUAUCCAGCAUGUGUCUGGUUUGCCUAAUGCUGGGGACAAGACAUGAUUUUAUCCAUCAAAAGGUGCAUAGGUUUGACUGUUUUGAUGUGUGAAAACUGCAUAUUGGCCUGUAACAUACACACUGAAUGGUAUAGAGACCAUGGGGAUACAGUGUGCUGAAUUUUCACAAGGGAAUAUACACCUGAAAUCUGAAUGCAGACAUUAAGAAACAUUUAAUGUUUUAAUAUCUCUGAAACCAGCCUAUAUCUUCCAAGUCCUAGCAAGUCAUAAUUUACUUAUUUAUUUAUUGUGGUACCGGGAAUCAAACUCAUGACCUCGAACUUGCCAGGCAGGCACUUAUGACGCUGAGCUAAAUCCCCAGCCCCAUAAUUUAUUUUUUUAAAGAAGAAAUUUCAAAACAGUAGGCUGGUGACAAUGGUUAAUAUAGUGUGUAUUGUUAGCUUUAGUUACUCAGAGUACAAGAUAUAGGCAUUUAAUCAUCCAAACAAUAUUAGCACAAACCUUUCUUUUCCAUGAACUAAGAGGAAUUAGUAAUACAAGUGUCUUAUGUGUAUAUAUGUAUAUGUGUAUAUAUGUUACUUGCUUUUCCCUCCCUGCUUUUCUCCUUCCACCCAUCCCACUUUCUCUUUCCUUUUGAACAGUUUCUUUCCAUUUUACAAUAUCUGUUGUACAUUUUGGAUCUUAUUUACUGUUUUAGCUUGUCACACCAGGGAGACAAUAAGAUGUUUCCACAUGUGUGUCUUAUUUAUUUCACUUAUAAAUACGGUUUUGAGUUGCAUCCAUUUACUUAUAAAAGUCUCUAGUUGAUCCUUCUUUAUGGCCAAGUAGUACUCCAUUGUAUAAAAAUGCCACGUCUUUUUAUCCAUUCCUCAGUCAAUGGACACUUAGGUUGUUUCCAAAAUCAAUAUAUUAAAAAUCGUGCUGUUAUAAACAUGGGUGCACAUAUAUUGCUGUGGUAUGAAGUUUUUAAUUCUUCUGGAAAGGUACCUGAAUAACUGGGUCAAAUGGAACCUCCAACCCUAGUUUUUUUGAGGAGUCUCCACACUGAUUUCCACAGUGGUUGCACUAGUCUACCCUUCCACCAACAGUGAAGGGUCCGUAUUUCCCCCGUCAGCAUUUGUUAUUGCUUGAUUUUUUGAUGAUAGCUAUUCUUUCUGGAGUGAGAUGGACUCUCAGGAUUGUUUUAAUUUGCACCUUUCAAAUGACUAGUGAUGCUGAACAUUUUUUCAAAUAUUUAUAUCUGACUGGUUUUUCUCCCUCCAAGCACUGUGCCCUUUCCAAAUUGAUGGUUCAAAAGGUCUUCCACUGAUCUUGCAACCGGCUCUGGAUUCCCCCUCACAAACGGGGUAAAACAGUUGUCUGCACACUGGAUCAGCAUGUGGAAGACUCCAGGUUCCAUUGUCAGCAGUGCAAAAAGCAACAAAAUGAAAAACAGGACUGAGCAAGUUCCCUGAUUGGCCCAUUUCUUUCUUUUUUUUUUUCAGUACUGGUGGAAUGCUCUACCUAUUUUUUAUUUGUUUUUGAGACAGGGUCUCACUGUGUAGCCCAGGCUGUUUUGGUCUCCCGAGUGCUGGGGUUACAGAUGUGCCCCAGUGUGCCCAGCUGGUGAUUAAAUCUUUGCGACUUCCAUUGCAAUUGGUCAGUGCUUGCUUUGUUCUGGGAACUGGGCACAGCUGACUUUUGCAAUUGAGAGGGAUAUCUUGCCCAUCAGGGUCCUGGUUUGCACAAAGAGUAGGGAGGUCUGACCAUUGAGUGUGCUCUUGAUCUUGUAUAGUGUCCACUGAAAAAUACUUCACAUGUGCACAUGAAUAAAUGAUUUACUCAUUUA